CGAGAAGAGGGCAUGUGGUGUUCAUCGGUGCAUACCGGUGGGGGAAGUUUGUGGCUCGAAGAUGGUCGCGACCGCGCUCCAUUUCGGAGCCAUUCCGACUCUAAUUACCGUAAAUAACCUAGCUAGGGUUUCCAAAGAGGGGCGAAGAGGACCCUCCACCACUCCUCCGUCUUCGGCCGGUCCCCUAUUUCGAUCGGGUUGGAGGAUUUCGCGAGCCCCGGCGACGGCCCCGAUCAUACGGGCUGCUGCCGAGGUGCAGACCACCGAGGAUGCUCUUGUGAAAGUCUCGACGGCGGCCGAUGUGGUGAGGGAGUUCUACGACGGGAUUAAUCGCCGGGAUCUUUCAGCCGUGGAGUCGCUGAUCUCAGAGGAUUGUGUCUACGAGGAUCUGGUCUUUCCCCGACCUUUUGUUGGACGCAAGGCUAUUCUCGACUUCUUCAAAAAGUUCACAGAAUCGGUCAGUGCUGACCUUCAGUUUGUUAUCGAUGACAUAUCUAACGAAGAUUCAUCGGCUGUUGGAGUUACAUGGCACUUGGAAUGGCGGGGCAGGCCUUUCCCAUUUAGCAAAGGGUGCAGCUUCUACAGUUUGCAGUUUCGGGAGGGCAAGAGACAGAUAGUGUACGUCCCUUUCUGUAAGAAUCAGUUAUGCUUGAAAGUAGGAUAUGAGAAGCUAGAAGUAAGCUUCAACAGGAAGGUGCACUCAAAUUAGCUAUGGGAGAGAUUGUGUGGAGCCUGCUGCCAAGCCUGGGGAUUCAGCAUUGGUUUUCAUGGUCCAGAUGAAACAAAAGAAAGGAGGUCUGUUGCCAGUUGUGCUGGCCAGCCACCAAAAUAUGUUCUAACACUUUACUCCAUAGUAACACUACUAUGGUGGAGCAUGAGGCAGGGAUAAAGGUGGAUGGUGAACCUUAAGAUUCUUGCCAGUGCUCCAUUUUGCAUAUUGCCUGAAAUUUAAGCUGUGGACUGAACCAGUUAAUCCAUGAAUAAGUCAUGUGAAAUCCUUGGAUUUUCUAUGACAUGGUUCUCUUUUCAUCGUACCUUUAACAAAUU
Musa acuminata AAA Group (dessert banana) is the source of this 1047-nucleotide RNA transcript. RefSeq lists it as uncharacterized. The record is from RefSeq and is a predicted model, not a curated record. Lineage: Eukaryota; Viridiplantae; Streptophyta; Magnoliopsida; Zingiberales; Musaceae. The transcript has 5 exons.